AACCAGUACUGUGAAGGAAAGGUGAAAAGCACUUCGAAUAGAAGAGUGAAAUAGUCCCUGAAACCAUGCGCCUACAAGCGGUCGGAGCAGCUUAUGCUGUGACGGCGUGCCUUUUGCAUAAUGAACCUACGAGUUACUUUUUCCGGCAAGGUUAAGCAUCUUGAGAUGUGGAUCCGAAGCGAAAGCGAGUCUGAACAGGGCGGAUAGUCGGAAGGAGUAGACGCGAAACCAAGUGAUCUACCCUUGGGCAGGUUGAAGGUUAGGUAACACUAACUGGAGGACCGAACCGAUAAGCGUUGAAAAGCUUCCGGAUGACCUGAGGGUGGGGGUGAAAGGCUAAUCAAACUUGGAGAUAGCUCGUACUCCCCGAAAUGCAUUUAGGUGCAGCCUUGAGAAUUACUAAUGUGAGGUAGAGCGACUGAUAAGAUGCGAGGGCUUCACCGCCUAUCAAGUCUUGAUAAACUCCGAAUGCGCAUUAGUUCGAUCUCAGGAGUGAGGGCAUGGGUGCUAAGGUCCAUGUCCUAAAGGAGAAGAAUCCAGACCAUCAGCUAAGGUCCCCAAAUAAACACUAAGUUGAACUAACGAAGUCAGAUUGCUAAGACAGCUAGGAUGUUGGCUUGGAAGCAGCCAUUCAUUUAAAGAGUGCGUAACAGCUCACUAGUCGAGGAGUUUGGCGUGGAUAAUAAUCGGGCAUUAAGUGUUUUACCGAAGCUAUGGGAUACGUAAGUAUCGGUAGGGGAGCAUUCCACUC
RNAcentral lists this ribosomal RNA (751 nucleotides) under Bacteroides fragilis. RNAcentral's name for it is "partial 23S ribosomal RNA". It matches the Rfam family "Bacterial large subunit ribosomal RNA", at positions 493 to 1246 of the family's 2925-position model. Lineage: Bacteria; Pseudomonadati; Bacteroidota; Bacteroidia; Bacteroidales; Bacteroidaceae. The record is from RNAcentral.